Molecule: ribosomal RNA, 355 nt
Filed under: Carabus saulcyi saulcyi
Lineage: Eukaryota; Metazoa; Arthropoda; Insecta; Coleoptera; Carabidae
Description: partial 12S ribosomal RNA
Source: RNAcentral
UUUAAAUGUAAAAUAAAUAUACUAAAGUAGUAUUAGUUAUGUUCUUGAAAUUUAAAGAUUUUGGCGGUAUUUUAGUCUAUUUAGAGGAGCCUGUUCUAUGAUUGAUAAUCCACGAUUAAUUUUACUUAAUUUAUAUAAAUUUGUAUACCGUCGUUAUAAGAAGAUUUUAAAAGAAUAUAAAUUUUUAAUAUUUUAUAUAAAAAAAUAUAUCAGAUCAAGGUGCAGUUUAUAGUUAAGAAGAAAUGGGCUACAAUAAAUUUAUUUAUAUGGAUUAAAGUAAGAAUUUGACUUUAUGAAAGUGGAUUUAAUAGUAAUAAAAUUAAUUUAAAUUUUAUGAUUUUAGCUCUAAAAUAUG